GGUCAGAUUGAACGCUGGCGGCAGGCCUAACACAUGCAAGUCGAACGGUAACAGGAAGAAGCUUGCUUCUUUGCUGACGAGUGGCGGACGGGUGAGUAAUGUCUGGGAAACUGCCUGAUGGAGGGGAUAACUACUGGAAACGGUAGCUAAUACCGCAUAACGUCGCAAGACCAAGAGGGGACCUUCGGGCCUCUUGCCAUCGGAUGUGCCCAGAUGGGAUUAGCUAGUAGGUGGGGCAACGCUCACCUAGGCGACGAUCCCUAGCUGGUCUGGAGAGGAUGACCAGCCACACUGGAACUGGGAGACACGGUCCAGACUCCUACGGGAGGCAGCAGUGGGGAAUAUUGCUAAUGGGCGCAAGCCUGAUGCAGCCAUGCCGCGUGUGAAGAAGGCCUUCGGGUUGNUAAAGUACUUUCAGGGAGGAAGGGAGUAAAGUUAAUACCUUUGCUCAUUGACGUUNCCCGCAGAAGAAGCACCGCUAACUCCGUGCCAGCAGCCGCGGUAAUACGGAGGGGCAAGCGUUAAUCCGGAAUUACUGGGCGUAAAGCACGCAAGCGGUUUGUUGUCAGAUGUGAAAUCCCCAGGCUCAACCUGGGAACCNNCNUGAUACUGCGCCUUGAGUCUCGUAGAGGGGUAAUUCCAGGUGUAGCGGUGAAAUGUAGAGAUCUGGAGGAAUACCGGUGGCGAAGGCGGCCCCUGGACGAAGACUGACGCUCAGGUGCGAAAGCGUGAGCAAACAGGAUUAGAUACCCUGGUAGUCCACGCCGUAAACGAUGUCGACUUGAGGUUGUANCNCUGAGGCGUGGCUUCCGGAGCUAACGCGUUAAGUCGACCGCCUGGGAGUACGGCCGCAGGUUAAACUCAAAUNAAUUGACGGGGCCCGCACAAGCGGUGGAGCAUGUGGUUUAAUUCGAUGCAAGCGAAGAACCUUACCUGGUCUUGACAUCCACAGAACUUUCCAGAGAUGGAUUGGUGCCUUCGGGAACUGUGAGACAGGUGCUGCAUGGCUGUCGUCAGCUCGUGUUGUNAAAUGUUGGGUUAAGUCCACGAGCGCAACCCUUAUCUUUUGUUGCCAGCGGUCCGGCCGGGAACUCAGGGGCUGCCAGUGAUAAACUGGAGGAAGGUGGGGAUGACGCAAGUCAUCACGGCCCUUACGACCAGGGNCNACGUGCUACAAUGGCGCAUANAAGAGAAGCGACCUCGCGAGAGCAAGCGGACCUCAUAAAGUGCGUCGUAGUCCGAUUGAAGUCUGCAACUCGACUCCAUGAAGUCGGAACGGCNUAGUAAUCGUGGAUCAGAAUGCCACGGUGAAUACGUUCCCGGGCCUUGUACACACCGCCCGUCACACCAUGGAGUGGGUUGCAAAAGAAGUAGGUAGCUUAACCUUCGGGAGGGCGCUUACCACUUUGUGAUUCAUGACUGGGGUGAAGUCGUAACAAGGUAACCGUAGGGAACCUGCGGUUG
Molecule: ribosomal RNA, 1464 nt
Filed under: metagenome
Description: bacterial SSU rRNA
Rfam family: Bacterial small subunit ribosomal RNA
Source: RNAcentral